CUACGGGACGCAGCAGGCGAGAAAACUUUGCAAUGUGCGAAAGCACGACAAGGUUAAUCCGAGUGGUUUGUGCUAAACGAACCUUUUGACAGUCCUAGAAACACUGUUGAAUAAGGGGUGGGCAAGUUCUGGUGUCAGCCGCCGCGGUAAAACCAGCACCUCAAGUGGUCAGGAUGAUUAUUGGGCCUAAAGCAUCCGUAGCCGGCUCUGUAAGUUUUCGGUUAAAUCUGUACGCUCAACGUACAGGCUGCCGGGAAUACUGCAGAGCUAGGGAGCGGGAGAGGUAGACGGUACUCGGUAGGAAGGGGUAAAAUCCUUUGAUCUAUUGAUGACCACCUGUGGCGAAGGCGGUCUACCAGAACACGUCCGACGGUGAGGGAUGAAAGCUGGGGGAGCAAACCGGAUUAGAUACCCCAGUAGUC
Molecule: ribosomal RNA, 422 nt
Filed under: uncultured archaeon
Lineage: Archaea
Description: partial 16S ribosomal RNA
Rfam family: Archaeal small subunit ribosomal RNA
Source: RNAcentral